UCUGUUCAGACUAGCCUAGAACCUUCUGGUGAUCAGUCUCCAGUGCUUGUUUCAAGAAGAGCUCCAUUCCACAUGCCUGCCAAUCCGUGUAUAAUCAGGAUCUUCUGAGAUAAGAAAAUCCACCUUUAUUCUGGACUACACCUGGUGGCAGCCUAUGUAAGGGACAUGGAAGAAGGAAGCUUUUGCUCUUUGCCUGUUUGUCCUCACUCUCACUGGCAAGUCCAUUCCCUCACUGCAUUAGAGCCUACAUCAUCCAGAUUCUGCUGCUUACUGAAGACCAGCUGAGACAUCCAGCCUUGUGAACUGAACAAUUACUUGAUGCUUGGACUUUCCAAUGGUAGACAGCAUUGUUAGACUAGUGGGACCACCGCCUGGCUAAUCAGCAGUGGGAUCAGACAGAAUAGAAACCUCCAUCUUUGUGUACCAGCUCUGAAACUUGACAAAUGUGGCCUGCAUGCAGGUAAUGGCUGUGAUCAGAGUUUGAGCACACUUUGCCCAAACUUGGCUUCACAAGACUUCAGGAAAUCUCCAAGGAACUGUCCAGACUUCACAGUGGCUGGACCUCAAACAAAAGCCAGCCUCCCAGACAAACAAACCUGCCAGGAGCAAACUCUUCUGUCGGGUGAAUUAAAGCAACCAUGCA
This 643-nucleotide long non-coding RNA is filed under the name Cricetulus griseus (Chinese hamster). Its description in RNAcentral is "lncRNA (ENSCGRG00015038183.1)". Lineage: Eukaryota; Metazoa; Chordata; Mammalia; Rodentia; Cricetidae. The record is from RNAcentral.